This 253-nucleotide ribosomal RNA is filed under the name uncultured prokaryote. Its description in RNAcentral is "partial 16S ribosomal RNA". It matches the Rfam family "Bacterial small subunit ribosomal RNA", at positions 524 to 776 of the family's 1533-position model. The record is from RNAcentral.
GACGUAGGGGGCAAGCGUUGUCCGGAAUCAUUGGGCGUAAAGCGCUCGUAGGCGGAUCAGUAAGUCUGUGAAGAAAGACCCGGGCUCAACUCGGGGAACGGCAUGGAUACUAUUGGUCUUGAGGUAAUCAGAGGAUGAUGGAAUUCCCGGUGUAGUGGUGGAAUGCGUAGAUAUCGGGAGGAACACCAGUGGCGAAGGCGGUUGCCUGGGGCUUUGCUGACGCUGAUGCGCGAAAGCGUGGGGAGCGAUCCGG